This 73-nucleotide transfer RNA is filed under the name Nitrospiria bacterium. Its description in RNAcentral is "tRNA-Lys". It matches the Rfam family "tRNA". Rfam says of the family: Transfer RNA (tRNA) molecules are approximately 80 nucleotides in length. Their secondary structure includes four short double-helical elements and three loops (D, anti-codon, and T loops). The record is from RNAcentral. Lineage: Bacteria; Pseudomonadati; Nitrospirota; Nitrospiria.
GAGCCGCUAGCUCAGUUGGUAGAGCACCGCCCUUUUAAGGCGGGUGUCCUGGGAUCGAGGCCCAGGCGGCUCA